Molecule: ribosomal RNA, 517 nt
Filed under: uncultured bacterium
Lineage: Bacteria
Description: partial 16S ribosomal RNA
Rfam family: Bacterial small subunit ribosomal RNA
Source: RNAcentral
GACGAACGCUGGCGGCGUGCCUAAUACAUGCAAGUCGAGCGGACCGGAUUGGGGCUUGCCUUGAUUCGGUCAGCGGCGGACGGGUGAGUAACACGUGGGCAACCUGCCCGCAAGACCGGGAUAACUCCGGGAAACCGGAGCUAAUACCGGAUAACACCGAAGACCGCAUGGUCUUCGGUUGAAAGGCGGCCUUUGGGCUGUCACUUGCGGAUGGGCCCGCGGCGCAUUAGCUAGUUGGUGAGGUAACGGCUCACCAAGGCGACGAUGCGUAGCCGGCCUGAGAGGGUGACCGGCCACACUGGGACUGAGACACGGCCCAGACUCCUACGGGAGGCAGCAGUAGGGAAUCUUCCGCAAUGGGCGAAAGCCUGACGGAGCGACGCCGCGUGAGCGAAGAAGGCCUUCGGGUCGUAAAGCUCUGUUGUGAGGGACGAAGGAGCGCCGUUCGAAGAGGGCGGCGCGGUGACGGUACCUCACGAGAAAGCCCCGGCUAACUACGUGCCAGCAGCCGCCGUAA